Non-coding RNA from Dipodomys ordii (Ord's kangaroo rat), 70 nucleotides. NCBI's taxonomy places the organism in Eukaryota, Metazoa, Chordata, Mammalia, Rodentia, Heteromyidae. The record is from Rfam.
GGGAAUGUGGCUCAGUGGUAGAGUGCUUGCCUAGCAUGCAUGAAGCCCUGAGAUCGAUUCCUCAGUGCCA